GACCUCAAAUCAGGUAGGACUACCCGCUGAACUUAAGCAUAUCAAUAAGCGGAGGAAAAGAAACUAACAAGGAUUCCCCUAGUAACUGCGAGUGAACCGGGAAAAGCUCAAAUUUAAAAUCUGGCAGUCUCUGGCUGUCCGAGUUGUAAUCUAGAGAAGUGUUAUCCGCGCUGGACCGUGUACAA
Molecule: ribosomal RNA, 185 nt
Filed under: uncultured Cortinarius
Lineage: Eukaryota; Fungi; Basidiomycota; Agaricomycetes; Agaricales; Cortinariaceae
Description: partial 28S ribsomal RNA
Rfam family: Eukaryotic large subunit ribosomal RNA
Source: RNAcentral